AGCCCACAAGAAAGAAGAAAAAAAUCAUUAAUGAUAUGGUGUGUGCUGGGAUAUUGCUUUAGGUUCCUGGGACCUCUUGCAACAUUGGCCAAAGAUUAGUAAGCAAUGCUCGGUGAGCUGAGGAGAUAACGCUUAAGGGAAAAGAGUAUUUAUUUAUUUCUGGCAAUGUGCCAGGCACCUGAAUGGAUACUUUCACAUAUAUUUUCUCAUUUGGAAGAGCCAAGAGAGAAAUAAGAAAGAGUUCUCUCAUCCAAGGUCAACUAUAGGCAAAAUGAGCUUUCCCUAGCAACCUGCCUUGGAUAAAAAGACACCAGAAAUUUCUCAAAGGCCAGUGUUUCAUAUGGUAAAUUCUUAACCACUGCACCACCAGGGAUGUCCCCGCCUGCAUUUCUGAAAAUCUUCCUCCGGCAUUCAAGGACCCCAGGAG
Long non-coding RNA from Lagenorhynchus albirostris (white-beaked dolphin), 427 nucleotides. RefSeq lists it as uncharacterized. The record is from RefSeq and is a predicted model, not a curated record. Lineage: Eukaryota; Metazoa; Chordata; Mammalia; Artiodactyla; Delphinidae. The transcript has 4 exons.